RNAcentral lists this unclassified non-coding RNA (1674 nucleotides) under Hevea brasiliensis (rubber tree). The record is from RNAcentral. Lineage: Eukaryota; Viridiplantae; Streptophyta; Magnoliopsida; Malpighiales; Euphorbiaceae.
CGACAAUAUCACAAAGGAAAACUACGCCAAGCUCAUAAAAGAAGUCAUAUAUAAUCUCAAAGCACAAAAUUUAAGCACAAAUCUGAUCUCCAGUCCAAGAUCGGUAUGUUCUCUUCAUCUGUUUAUUGCAGUCAGUACAAUGUAAGUGUAGCCUCUUGGACUAUGACCACUGAACUUGUGCUAUUGACUAUAACGCCAGUUGUUCAAGGCGUCUUUACAGGAACAUCUGGGUAGACGUUUGACAGAAGAAUGUGGUUGUAUCAUGUACUUGUAAUAAAUCCAAGGAGAGCACUCCUUCUGCAGCUUGUUUUUCAGCUGAAUGAGUUACCUCGCUAAUAUUUCAAGGACAGUUGAAGCUUGAUACUAUUUCAAGAGAUCGAUUUCUGUUUCACCACAAUAUCAUCAGCAGAAUAAUAGUCUGCUAUGAGCCGGUACAUGAAUGAAGCAUUAUGUCCACCCGUGUCUGUUAUAAACAAACUAACAAGAUUUGGUGGCACAUAAUCAAAUGCGGGAUUAACAACAUCAAGUAGGGGGGAACCAGAGCUGCUCUCGAAAUCCAGGCAAUCUGAGAAUUCUCCAAAGUCCAGAAGCUCAGCUGGUGAUUUCAAUUCAUUUAGCAAGACUUCUGGAUUGUGUGGAUACAAAGGACAUAACUUGUGAGUGCCUGCAAGAACAACAAAGGGAACAGCAUGCCUCUGAGCUGCUAGAGCCACCAUGUUCAUUCCAACAGGUGCAAUAACCCCACCAUUGGCCAUGACAGUGUGAGCUCCAACAACCACCAUGUUGACUCUUGAGAUGAUAGCAAAAACAGCAGAAUCAGUGAUCACUGUGGUUUGCAGACCCCUGGCAACCAAUUCUUUUGCAAGGGCAUGCCCCUGGUACCUUGGGGCACCCUCAGCCACAAAAACCCGGAAAGAUCUCUUCUUUUCCUUUGCAGCACAUAGAAAUUCCAUCACUGUCCUUGAAUUGCCUAAAGUUAAGAUUACCUCAUUGUGAUGAAUAUGCUCAACUGCUUGUUCAGCAAUCUGGUCAUGGCAGGUAGCAAUAUCUUGAAUAAGUUCAUUAACAGCCUCAAUGACAUUAUGUUUUAGUUUCUUGCUCGUUGAAUUCUUAUCAGCAGAUUUGCUUUUUCCUUCAGAAUCACCACCAGAAGAAGAUGUUCGAGGUACAGCUGUUGAUUGUGGGAUGUCUUCAAGGAGGGUCUGCAAGGAAGGUGGUCUCAAGGUGUUUCUAGCAGCAGCAGCCACAGCAGCGGCAGAUAAACCUUGAUGAUCGUCUUGCUUGACAUCAUCUUCAUCAUCACUUCCAGCCGAUAUACCCCACCCACCAACAGCAGCAGCUGUCAAAGAUACAUCCUCCUCCCUUAUAAUAUUAAGAACUCGCCUAACAAUGUUACCGACGGCAAGCUCUACUGGAUUAGCAGCAAUCAACUUUUCCCCAAUACCUCUGAUUGCAUCAAUAAGAGCAUCAGCCUGGUGAGUUUGAGGAAGCCUCUGCUGCGAUAUGCAUGAGCGUAACACUUCCGCUGUCAAUUUCGCUGUUGUCUUCGACCCCUCAAUUUUCCGUUUCUUCAGCUUGAUUAUGAAUUCAUUCACUAGGGCAUUCAUGUCCGUAUUUGUUGAAUUUACACCGUUUAAUACUGUGCUUGAAGCUUGGGAUUGUGCUCAACAAUGG